Long non-coding RNA from Ostrea edulis (European flat oyster), 574 nucleotides. RefSeq lists it as uncharacterized. The record is from RefSeq and is a predicted model, not a curated record. NCBI's taxonomy places the organism in Eukaryota, Metazoa, Mollusca, Bivalvia, Ostreida, Ostreidae. The transcript is spliced from 3 exons.
AACGUUAAAUGAUGGCACUAAAAUCACGUGCGCAUCAAGGGAUUUUAAAAUAUUCACUGAGGUAAAUGCCGUGCACAAAUCGGCCGAUAGAUUGGUGUAUGUAUGGACAAGAUUUACAAACACCCAAGCUGCAUGUCCAAACAACGAACAAUUUUUUUAAUUGAACACCUUUAGUCACCUAUGUCCAAGCAGUUACCCAAGCGGUUGUAACAUUGCUGCAAUAAAUUUUGUCUUUCUUGUUUGGUACCAAAGCUGUCUGUGAAUAGAGUUUUAAUAGCGAAGAGGAACAGAAAGUUGGCGCUAAGAAGUAUGAGGAAACAAAGUGACAAAGAGAAUGAUCAGAGUGUUUGGCAGAAGAACUGCCCCUGACUUGAAUACAUUGAUGGUCUCCUAUUUUGCAUCUGGUGCAGAAAGGAAAGCAGUGCAAAUUGAUGAGAGUGUUGAUGAAGAACUACAAGAAUUAAAACAUUGAAAGAUUCCGGAGAAUAUGACAGAAUUAGAAGUUGAAAGAGGGCUUGAACUCUCGUCUUAAACUUGUAUUGUAAAUACUUAAUAAAAAUGUUCAAUCUUGAAA